UGAACGCGAAGAACCUUACCUACCCUUGACAUGUACGGAACCCUGCUGAGAGGUGGGGGGCCCCGAAAGGGAGCCGUAACACAGGUUGCUACAUAGCUGUCGUCAGCUCGUGUCGUGAGAUGUUGGGUUAAGUCCCGCAACGAGCGCAACCCUUGUCCCUAGUUGCUACGCAAGAGCACUCCAGGGAGACUGCCGGUGACAAACCGGAGGAAGGUGGGGAUGACGUCAAGUCCUCAUGGCCCUUAUGGGUAGGGCUUCACACGUCAUACAAUGGUCGGAACAGAGGGUUGCCAAGCCGCGAGGUGGAGCCAAUCCCAGAAAACCGAUCGUAGUCCGGAUCGCAGUCUGCAACUCGACUGCGUGAAGCUGGAAUCGCUAGUAAUCGCGGAUCAUCAUGCCGCGGUGAAUACGUUCCCGGGUCUUGUACACACGCAA
Molecule: ribosomal RNA, 435 nt
Filed under: bacterium CPTAC12D
Lineage: Bacteria
Description: bacterial SSU rRNA
Rfam family: Bacterial small subunit ribosomal RNA
Source: RNAcentral